UACGUAGGGAGCAAGCGUUGUCCGGAUUUACUGGGUGUAAAGGGUGCGUAGGCGGCUUUGCAGGUCAGAAGUGAAAUCCAUGGGCUUAACCCAUGAACUGCUUUUGAAACUGCAGAGCUUGAGUGGAGUAGAGGUAGGCGGAAUUCCCGGUGUAGCGGUGAAAUGCGUAGAGAUCGGGAGGAACACCAGUGGCGAAGGCGGCCUGCUGGGCUCUAACUGACGCUGAGGCACGAAAGCGUGGGUAGCAAACAGG
RNAcentral lists this ribosomal RNA (253 nucleotides) under uncultured bacterium. Its description in RNAcentral is "partial 16S ribosomal RNA". It matches the Rfam family "Bacterial small subunit ribosomal RNA", at positions 524 to 776 of the family's 1533-position model. The record is from RNAcentral.